CCAAUAGCGUAUAUUAAAGUUGUUGCAGUUAAAAAGCUCGUAGUUGAAUUUCGGGAUCAAGUCGUCGGUCGUGCCUCGGUACGCACUGUUGACAUUGGUUUCUCCCUUCUGAAGAACCUUGAUGUCAUUAAUUUGGUGUCUUGGGGAAUCAGGACUGUUACUUUGAAAAAAUUAGAGUGUUUAAAGCAGGCUCACGCUUGAAUACAUUAGCAUGGAAUAAUGAAAUAGGACGUUUGAUUCUAUUUUGUUGGUUUCUAGGAUCGACGUAAUGAUUAAUAGGGAUAGUUGGGGGCAUUAGUAUUCAAUUGUCAGAGGUGAAAUUCUUGGAUUUAUUGAAGACUAACUACUGCGAAAGCAUUUGCCAAGGAUGUUUUCAUUAAUCAAGAACGAAAGUUAGGGGAUCGAAGACGAUCAGAUACCGUCGUAGUCUUAACCAUAAACUAUGCCGACUAGGGAUCGGAUGAUGUUAAUUUUUUAAUGACUCAUUCGGCGCCUUACG
Molecule: ribosomal RNA, 499 nt
Filed under: uncultured Glomeromycotina
Lineage: Eukaryota; Fungi; Glomeromycota
Description: partial small subunit ribosomal RNA
Rfam family: Eukaryotic small subunit ribosomal RNA
Source: RNAcentral